ACGCUCGACACCUACGGGAAGCAGCAGUGGGGAAUAUUGCACAAUGGGGGAAACCCUGAUGCAGCGACGCCGCGUGAAGGAAGAAGUAUCUCGGUAUGUAAACUUCUAUCAGCAGGGAAGAAAGUGACGGUACCUGACUAAGAAGCCCCGGCUAACUACGUGCCUGCAGCCGCGGUAAUCUGAGCGGGCUGGCAAGGC
RNAcentral lists this ribosomal RNA (198 nucleotides) under uncultured bacterium. RNAcentral describes it as "partial 16S ribosomal RNA". It matches the Rfam family "Bacterial small subunit ribosomal RNA", at positions 326 to 539 of the family's 1533-position model. The record is from RNAcentral.